Drosophila eugracilis is the source of this 1051-nucleotide long non-coding RNA. RefSeq lists it as uncharacterized. The transcript is spliced from 3 exons. The record is from RefSeq and is a predicted model, not a curated record. Lineage: Eukaryota; Metazoa; Arthropoda; Insecta; Diptera; Drosophilidae.
ACUUGGUGAGCCACUGGGAAAUAGAGACAUUUGGCUGGGACGACGCAAAGCGGAUUUUGCUUUUGACUCUUAUUCAAUUUGUGCUUGUGUUGUUGUUGUUGCUGUUGUUGUCGCUGCUGUGGUUGCUAUUGUUGCAUUCAAUUGGAUUCGCCAGUGGGUGGUUAUACGGGGGCUGGGACGACCAGAAGCGGGUAAAGAGAAACAACAUUGAUGCAGCCAUCAGCCAUCAGCCAUCAGCCAUUCAGUCAUCCAAGAACACUUCCCUCUGUCAAUUUGUUCGUCAAACACCUCAGCGUGGCCGCCACCUUCUCCGCAUGCUCAUUCCCUCCCUCCUUCGUCUGCUCUGCGGUUGGUUAUGGAUGCCAUAAAGUGAAGCGAAGCCAUAGUAGCAUUACCCAUACCCCAUAACCCAUCCCCAAUCGUUUUCUGUUGGCGCCACCCUACGGCAAUCUAAGCAGCUGGAAAAAUUAUUUGCGGAGAUGCAGCGACACUGAUACCAGGCGUGUUUGUCUCCCACGCCAUUGCACUGGACAAAAAUAUUGGUUAAAAAUUCCUUAGGGUCCUUUAACAAGUCUUUCCUUUUCUAAUAAAUAAAUAAAUCUUAACUGUUUCUUAAGUGCACCCAACUUUCCAUGGUUUCAACUACAUAUAGCAGUGCGUGUGGCAGAGACAUAAAUUAAGACAUCGCUGGCCAAGGAGUUGCGUGUUUCAGGGACAAAUAGAACAGGGACAACAGCCGCAAAAAACGAGAUCUGCAUUCAAAGUUGGAAAGGUAAAAUUUUUGCCAUUUUUCGAAAAAAAUAGAUGAUGGUAUCCCAAAUCAGAAAAUGAAGUGCUCCCAAUACGUCGCUGGGUCUGUGAUCUGGCACCGGAGACGUCGUCCUCUUCGUUGGAUUUGAUCUUCCAGUGGCGGUAACUGAUGUAUGUUUUUAUAUGUAAGAAUCCAAUAUGCGAAAUCGAUUUAAUAAAAAUAUUAAAAAAACUAAUAUUGGCAUUUUAAUCUGCGAAUUAGAAUAAAGUUAGGAGUUUUAAAAAAUCUUAGCAUACUUUU